CCUACGGGCGACAGCAGUCGAGAAUCAUUCACAAUGGGGGAAACCCUGAUGGUGCGACGCCGCGUGGGGGAAUGAAGGUCUUCGGAUUGUAAACCCCUGUCAUGUGGGCGCAAAUUAAAAAGAUAGUACCACAAGAGGAAGAGACGGCUAACUCUGUGCCAGCAGCCGCGGUAAUACAGAGGUCUCAAGCGUUGUUCGGAAUCACUGGGCGUAAGGCGUGCGUAGGCUGUUUCGUAAGUCGUGUGUGAAAGGCGCGGGCUCAACCCGCGGACGGCACAUGAUACUGCGAGACUAGAGUAAUGGAGGGGGAACCGGAAUGCUCGGUGUAGCAGUGAAAUGCGUAGAUAUCGAGAGGAACACUCGUGGCGAAGGCGGGUUCCUGGACAUUAACUGACGCUGAGGCACGAAGGCCAGGGGAGCGAAAGGGAUUAGAUACCCUGGUAGUC
Molecule: ribosomal RNA, 446 nt
Filed under: uncultured bacterium
Lineage: Bacteria
Description: partial 16S ribosomal RNA
Rfam family: Bacterial small subunit ribosomal RNA
Source: RNAcentral